AACUAUGUUAAUUUUUGCUGGACCCAUGACAGCAGUUCCAUCAAAGAGAACUUGUAGGGAAGAUAUAUCUAACAAAUAGUGACUAUAUGUUCUCAUCAUCAAGGAAUCUCUGCAGAUGCUGUAGCCUUUGUGCAUGUCUAUGCAUCAUCAAUUAUACCAUACUGAACUUUCCAAUCUAGUCAGAAGAAAACUAAGGCAAGGCUCCAGAAGAAUUUACUUUUCUUCUAAAUUUAAACAAGGAAAUGUCAUUAUAUAAUCUCAACUUGAAGCCAAUUGCACAAGAUUCUUUGUUGUUACUGAAUAUUUGUGCAAUAAGUUCUUUCUGGAGCAUCAGUUAUCCAGUGGACAUUUGAGAUGAUUUUUACCGUUACAUAAACAGUUUAGCUUUUGAGAGAUUUUUCAUUGGAAAAUUUCAUUAUCUUUAUCUCUAUCAAAGUGAUAGGCCCUCCAUAUUAUACAUCAUGGAAAAUAGUUGGUCUUAUUUAUUAAAGUUUUUAGAUAUUCCUUUUUUUUAUGGUAAAGGUAUAUCUUUUAAUGAUGUAUCAACGAAUAGCUUCUCCAUUGGAAAGGUAAUCCUCUGCAGGCACUCUAAUGUAUUUGAGGAAUAAAAGCACUAAAGAAAAAGGAAUUAAAAAUCCAGGUGAAAUCUUUUAAAGAACUCUGUAGAAAUCAAACUUUGUUAUGUAUGCGUGUAUAUAUAUGUUUGUGUGUAUACUCAUAUGCAUAUCUGUGGGUUUGUGUGGCUGUAUAAAAACUGUUUCUAUGCAACUUCCUUAAUACCACUUGAACAAAAAAUAGUGACAUUGUUGAUGUUCACCAGUAAACAAAAUUCCCAUAGAUUCAGUGUCAUCAGCAAUUUCAAUGUGUGAGGACCACUGGAAGAAAAACACAUUACCUGAAAAACAAAUGUGUUGAUGGCAAGAAGAGCAUCUGUCAUCAAAAUAUAAAAAAAUAAUGCCUCCACAUGAUUUGUCCAACAAAUGUCAGCAUAGACAAAAAAUGGAUAUAAAAUCCUUUUCUUACUGCUGCUACUACUACUACUUCUUAUAGAAGUUAAACAGGAGUUGGAAAUUUUUCUCUUUGAAUGGAUUACAGUUUUUCUAUUGUGAUAAGGAUUUUAUUUUCUUCAUUAAAGACAUUUCGAAAAGUA
This is a long non-coding RNA of Octopus sinensis (East Asian common octopus), 1150 nucleotides long. RefSeq lists it as uncharacterized. The transcript is spliced from 2 exons. The record is from RefSeq and is a predicted model, not a curated record. Lineage: Eukaryota; Metazoa; Mollusca; Cephalopoda; Octopoda; Octopodidae.